RNAcentral lists this ribosomal RNA (117 nucleotides) under Pteropus alecto (black flying fox). Lineage: Eukaryota; Metazoa; Chordata; Mammalia; Chiroptera; Pteropodidae. The record is from RNAcentral.
ACUUUUAGUCUACCCUGAACAAGCUUAAUCCCGUCUGAUAUCUCAGAAGCUAAGCAGGGUCAAGCCUGGUUAGUACUUGAAUGGAAGACCACCUAGAAAGACCAAGUACUGUAGGCG